GAUGAACGCUGGCGGCGUGCCUAAUACAUGCAAGUCGAGCGAACAGAUGAGUAGCUUGCUCCUCUGACGUUAGCGGCGGACGGGUGAGUAACACGUGGAUAACCUACCUAUAAGACUGGGAUAACUUCGGGAAACCGGAGCUAAUACCGGAUAAUAUAUUGAACCGCAUGGUUCAAUAGUGAAAGACGGUUUUGCUGUCACUUAUAGAUGGAUCCGCGCCGCAUUAGCUAUUUGGUAAGGUAACGGCUUACCAAGGCAACGAUGCGUAGCCGACCUGAGAGGGUGAUCGGCCACACUGGAACUGAGACACGGUCCAGACUCCUACGGGAGGCAGCAGUAGGGAAUCUUCCGCAAUGGGCGAAAGCCUGACGGAGCAACGCCGCGUGAGUGAUGAAGGUCUUCGGAUCGUAAAACUCUGUUAUUAGGGAAGAACAAAUGUGUAAGUAACUAUGCACGUCUUGACGGUACCUAAUCAGAAAGCCACGGCUAACUACGUG
This 497-nucleotide ribosomal RNA is filed under the name uncultured bacterium. RNAcentral describes it as "partial 16S ribosomal RNA". It matches the Rfam family "Bacterial small subunit ribosomal RNA", at positions 28 to 507 of the family's 1533-position model. The record is from RNAcentral.